RNAcentral lists this transfer RNA (80 nucleotides) under Harpochytrium sp. JEL94. RNAcentral describes it as "tRNA-Tyr". It matches the Rfam family "tRNA". From Rfam's summary of the family: Transfer RNA (tRNA) molecules are approximately 80 nucleotides in length. Lineage: Eukaryota; Fungi; Monoblepharomycota; Monoblepharidomycetes; Monoblepharidales; Harpochytriaceae. RNAcentral also lists the same sequence under 1 other name. The record is from RNAcentral.
AAAGUGGUGACCGAAUGGUUAGGUAGCACUCUGUAAAAGUGUGGUUUUGGCCAAUGUAGGUUCGAGCCCUACCCACUUCA